GCUACGAUAGGUAGGGGCCCUGAGAGGGGGAUCCCCCACACUGGUACUGAGACACGGACCAGACUCCUACGGGAGGCAGCAGUGAGGAAUAUUGGGCAAUGGAGGCAACUCUGACCCAGCCAUGCCGCGUGCAGGAAGACUGCCCUAUGGGUUGUAAACUGCUUUUAUACAGGAAGAAACACCGCUACGUGUAGCGGCUUGACGGUACUGUAAGAAUAAGGACCGGCUAACUCCGUGCCAGCAGCCGCGGUAAUACGGAGGGUCCAAGCGUUAUCCGGAAUCAUUGGGUUUAAAGGGUCCGCAGGCGGUCAAUUGAGUCAGAGGUGAAAUCCCAUAGCUUAACUAUGGAACUGCCUUUGAUACUGGUUGACUUGAGUCAUAUGGAAGUAGAUAGAAUGUGUAGCGUAGCGGUGAAAUGCAUAGAUAUUACACAGAAUACCGAUUGCGAAGGCAGUCUACUACGUAUGUACUGACGCUCAUGGACGAAAGCGUGGGGAGCGAGCAGGAUUAGAUACCCUGGUAGUCCACGCCGUAAACGAUGGAUACUAGUUGUUGGGGUUUACCUCAGUGACUAAGCGAAAGUGAUAAGUAUCCCACCUGGGGAGUACGGUCGCAAGACUGAAACUCAAAGGAAUUGACGGGGGCCCGCACAAGCGGUGGAGCAUGUGGUUUAAUUCGAUGAUACGCGAGGAACCUUACCAGGGCUUAAAUGUAGUCUGACAGCUUUAGAGAUAGAGUUUUCUUCGGACAGAUUACAAGGUGCUGCAUGGUUGUCGUCAUCUCGUGCCGUGAGGUGUCAGGUUAAGUCCUAUAACGAGCGCAACCCUUGUCGUUAGUUGCCAGCAUGUAAAGAUGGGGACUCUAGCGAGACUGCCGGUGCAAACCGCGAGGAAGGUGGGGAUGACGUCAAAUCAUCACGGCCCUUACGUCCUGGGCCACACACGUGCUACAAUGGUAUGGACAAUGAGCAGCCAUCUGGCAACAGAGAGCAAAUCUAUAAACCAUAUCACAGUUCGGAUCGGAGUCUGCAACUCGACUCCGUGAAGCUGGAAUCGCUGGUAAUCGGAUAUCAGCCAUGAUCCGGUGAAUACGUUCCCGGGCCUUGUACACACCGCCCGUCAAGCCAUGGAAGCUGGGAGUGCCUGAAGUCGGUCACCGCAAGGAGCCGCCUAGGGUAAAACUGGUAACUAGGGCUAAGUAACAAGGUA
RNAcentral lists this ribosomal RNA (1208 nucleotides) under metagenome. Its description in RNAcentral is "bacterial SSU rRNA". It matches the Rfam family "Bacterial small subunit ribosomal RNA", at positions 273 to 1498 of the family's 1533-position model. The record is from RNAcentral.